UACGAGGGGGGCAAGCGUUGUUCGGAAUUAUUGGGCGUAAAGGGCGCGUAGGCGGUGCGGUAAGUCACCUGUGAAAACUCUGGGCUUAACCCAGAGCCUGCAUCCAAAACUGGCGAACUGGAGUACUGGAGGGGAAAGCGGAAUUCCUGGUGUAGCGGUGAAAUGCGUAGAUAUCAGGAGGAACACCGGUGGCGAAGGCGGCUUUCUGGACAGUAACUGACGCUGAGGCGCGAAAGCCGGGGGAGCAAACAGG
RNAcentral lists this ribosomal RNA (253 nucleotides) under uncultured bacterium. Its description in RNAcentral is "partial 16S ribosomal RNA". It matches the Rfam family "Bacterial small subunit ribosomal RNA", at positions 524 to 776 of the family's 1533-position model. The record is from RNAcentral.